UGAGGAAUAUUGGUCAAUGGGCGAGAGCCUGAACCAGCCAAGUAGCGUGCAGGAUGACGGCCCUAUGGGUUGUAAACUGCUUUUAUGUGGGGAUAAAGUGCGUGACGUGUCAUGCAUUGCAGGUACCACAUGAAUAAGGACCGGCUAAUUCCGUGCCAGCAGCCGCGGUAAUACGGAAGGUCCGGGCGUUAUCCGGAUUUAUUGGGUUUAAAGGGAGCGUAGGCUGUCUAUUAAGCGUGUUGUGAAAUAUACCGGCUCAACCGGUGGCUUGCAGCGCGAACUGGUCGACUUGAGUAUGCAGGAAGUAGGCGGAAUUCAUGGUGUAGCGGUGAAAUGCUUAGAUAUCAUGACGAACUCCGAUUGCGCAGGCAGCUUACUGUAGCAUAACUGACGCUGAUGCUAGAAAGUGCGGGUAUCAAACAGG
This 424-nucleotide ribosomal RNA is filed under the name Fusobacteriota bacterium. Its description in RNAcentral is "Fusobacteria bacterium partial 16S ribosomal RNA". It matches the Rfam family "Bacterial small subunit ribosomal RNA", at positions 355 to 776 of the family's 1533-position model. Lineage: Bacteria; Fusobacteriati; Fusobacteriota. The record is from RNAcentral.